This 73-nucleotide transfer RNA is filed under the name Stegodyphus mimosarum. RNAcentral's name for it is "tRNA-Thr for anticodon GGU". Lineage: Eukaryota; Metazoa; Arthropoda; Arachnida; Araneae; Eresidae. The record is from RNAcentral.
GCCUUCGUGGUGUAGUGGUCAGCACGUUCGGCGGGUAACCGAGAGGUCCGUGGUUCGAUACCAGGCGAAGGCG